Neopelma chrysocephalum (saffron-crested tyrant-manakin) is the source of this 489-nucleotide non-coding RNA. NCBI's taxonomy places the organism in Eukaryota, Metazoa, Chordata, Aves, Passeriformes, Pipridae. The record is from the annotation of a RefSeq genome assembly.
AUGGCCUCCACCUUCCUCCCGCUCCUCCUCCUCCUCGCCGCCCUCCCAGGGCUGCGGGCGGCCGUGACCCUGGUGGAGUCCGGGGGUGACCUCAAGGCCCCGGGGGAGUCCCUGCGGCUCCUCUGCCGCGCCUCCGGCUUCACCUUCAGCAACCACGACAUGCAGUGGGUGCGCCAGAGCCCCGGGAAGGGGCUGGAAUGGGUCGCUGGGAUCUACAAUGAUGGUUCCAGCACCUACUACGCGCCGUCGGUGCAGGGCCGGUUCAGCAUCCCCAGGGACAACGGGCAGAGCUCGGUGACGCUGCAGAUGAACAACCUCAGGGACGAGGAUUCCGACACCUAUUUCUGCGCCAAAGGUGCUGGUGCUGGUGGUGCUGCUGAAGGUAUCGACGCCUUUGGCAGGGUCCCCACCUGUCCCCAAACCCCAGACCCUCAACCCCAAACCUCCAUGCUUUGGACCCAAAUCUCAACCGUUGAUCCCAAAUUUUGA